RNAcentral lists this ribosomal RNA (465 nucleotides) under Vreelandella stevensii. Its description in RNAcentral is "partial 16S ribosomal RNA". It matches the Rfam family "Bacterial small subunit ribosomal RNA", at positions 338 to 795 of the family's 1533-position model. The record is from RNAcentral. Lineage: Bacteria; Pseudomonadati; Pseudomonadota; Gammaproteobacteria; Oceanospirillales; Halomonadaceae.
CCUACGGGGGGCAGCAGUGGGGAAUAUUGGACAAUGGGGGGAACCCUGAUCCAGCCAUGCCGCGUGUGUGAAGAAGGCCCUCGGGUUGUAAAGCACUUUCAGUGAGGAAGAACGCCUGGUGGUUAAUACCCAUCAGGAAAGACAUCACUCACAGAAGAAGCACCGGCUAACUCCGUGCCAGCAGCCGCGGUAAUACGGAGGGUGCGAGCGUUAAUCGGAAUUACUGGGCGUAAAGCGCGCGUAGGUGGCUUGAUAAGCCGGUUGUGAAAGCCCCGGGCUCAACCUGGGAACGGCAUCCGGAACUGUCAAGCUAGAGUGCAGGAGAGGAAGGUAGAAUUCCCGGUGUAGCGGUGAAAUGCGUAGAGAUCGGGAGGAAGACCAGUGGCGAAGGCGGCCUUCUGGACUGACACUGACACUGAGGUGCGAAAGCGUGGGUAGCAAACAGGAUUAGAUACCCCUGUAGUC